RNAcentral lists this ribosomal RNA (689 nucleotides) under Photobacterium damselae subsp. damselae. Its description in RNAcentral is "bacterial SSU rRNA". It matches the Rfam family "Bacterial small subunit ribosomal RNA", at positions 8 to 676 of the family's 1533-position model. Lineage: Bacteria; Pseudomonadati; Pseudomonadota; Gammaproteobacteria; Vibrionales; Vibrionaceae. The record is from RNAcentral.
AGAGUUUGAUCAUGGCUCAGAUUGAACGCUGGCGGCAGGCCUAACACAUGCAAGUCGAGCGGCAGCGACUUAACUGAACCUUCGGGGAACGUUAAGGGCGGCGAGCGGCGGACGGGUGAGUAAUGCCUGGGAAUAUGCCCUGAUGUGGGGGAUAACUAUUGGAAACGAUAGCUAAUACCGCAUAAUCUCUUCGGAGCAAAGAGGGGGACCUUCGGGCCUCUCGCGUCAGGAUUAGCCCAGGUGGGAUUAGCUUGUUGGUGAGGUAAUGGCUCACCAAGGCAACGAUCCCUAGCUGGUCUGAGAGGAUGAUCAGCCACACUGGAACUGAGACACGGUCCAGACUCCUACGGGAGGCAGCAGUGGGGAAUAUUGCACAAUGGGGGAAACCCUGAUGCAGCCAUGCCGCGUGUGUGAAGAAGGCCUUCGGGUUGUAAAGCACUUUCAGUAGGGAGGAAGGUAGUGUAGUUAACACCUGCAUUAUUUGACGUUACCUACAGAAGAAGCACCGGCUAACUCCGUGGCAGCAGCCGCGGUAAUACGGAGGGUGCGAGCGUUAAUCGGAAUUACUGGGCGUAAAGCGCAUGCAGGCGGCCUGUUAAGUCAGAUGUGAAAGCCCGGGGCUUAACCUCGGAAUUGCAUUUGAAACUGGCAGGCUAGAGUCUUGUAGAGGGGGGUAGAAUUUCAGGUGU